AUUUUUUUAUGUGGAUACUGUAUUUAUUUACUUUUUUUAAAGAGAUUGUAUAAUACUUGCGCACUCUAUGACUGGAAAUAUUAUUUAUCAUACAACAAUACCUGCCAAAAACCAAGAAGCGGGUCCAAAAAUUAUAGGCAAAAAGCUUCUCAUGGGCCUUAAAAAAGAGGAUUUUAUAAUAUAAAUGGUACAUGUCGUUGACCACUUAUAUAUAAAGAGAAAUUGAUACUUUAAUAGAGAUAUGAUAUAAUUCUGAUGGUCUAAUUUUUCCUCAUUGCCGCCAAAUGUUGUGUUAUCCCAAUCAUAGGUAUAAUCUAGAUUUCAAAAGCGAGCUUUCUCGCCCCCACCAUGUUUCCACGCCGCCAAGAAAUUUCCGACCAACACAUUUUAAACAUAAAUAAACUAAAAAUUCCCAAGCUACAAGGCAUGCAACGAUGUGGCAGAUUUUGAUUGUUUCAUUGCUAGGGCUAAAGUAGCUGAAAAUGACCCAUUGAUUCGAAAGUUAAUGUAAUGUCAAUAAAAAAUAAAUAUACCUUUUUGUCCUCGUCUUUCCAACGUGUGUUGUAGAUUUCUUGUUUCCUCUGCCAUGAUGUAUUUUUCAUGACACGAAAUAAUUAUGUUGACCCAUAAAUAACCACAUUAUUACUCACGUCUGUUUUUCUGUCUCAGCAAACUUGCCAUAGAUUAUAAGGAAAAAAAUGAACAUUUGGUUGGACGUUGCUUUUCGCAUAUCCCCUAGCCAGCCAUGAUCCUGAGCCUUUGCUCCACUAGUUUUAGACUUUUGCUAUGCCAUAUCGACAACAAAUGAGGCUUACAUGCCGUUGUUGUUGAACGACGUGGGUGGCUCUUGCAUGAAAUCUAUUUUCGCUGCCUCUCUAUUUGUAUGUUUUACUAAUAACAAGACGGCUAUCGAGUGAUGAGGAUUAAUCGUAGUUGGGGCAUGGAGCAGUGGUUGGCCAUGCAUUGUGGAGACAAUAGAGAUUGAGAGGAGGAGCAAACAUCUCAAGAUCUCGAGACUUUAGAAAUGGAACGUGAAAAUAUGAAAAAUCCUAGCUUCUAAACGCAAUUUAUUUAAAACUCUAGUAACAAACAAGACAUCUUUUUAUUCAA
This is a long non-coding RNA of Juglans microcarpa x Juglans regia, 1110 nucleotides long. RefSeq lists it as uncharacterized. The record is from RefSeq and is a predicted model, not a curated record. The transcript is spliced from 2 exons. Lineage: Eukaryota; Viridiplantae; Streptophyta; Magnoliopsida; Fagales; Juglandaceae.